AUGUCACCUUACAAAACUAGCACCCACAAGAUCCUAAUCCAAGUAAGUCCUGAAAUACCAUUAGAACCUCUAUUUACAUUAAACCAUGACAGCCUCAAAUAAGUCAUGAAUUUGAACUUAAAAAUUCUAACAAAUAUACUCUAGCUAAAUUGCAUUUUAACCUAACCUUUAAUCUAGAAUUCUAGUCUAAUUCACAAACCCAUUAAAUUGACUAUUCAAAUUUAAGGUUUCUUUACCUUGAUGAGCUUGAAGGCACAAAGAUCAACAAAAACCUUUUGGCUUUAAAAAUAAAGAUUUGAAGCUGAAAAUUCAAGUGUUGAUGAAGGUGGAGUAGAAAUAUAAAAUGAAAGAAAGAAAGAGAGAUUUUUCUCUCUCUCUCUCUCUCCUAGGAUUUAGAUGUGCUGAAAAAAUGGGGUUAGAAGUUGUGGUUUUGGUGCACAAUAAGGUAGGAGAAGGAAAAAGUAAGAAAAUAAAUGAAAGGAAAAGAAAGGAAGGAAAAG
RNAcentral lists this long non-coding RNA (500 nucleotides) under Theobroma cacao (cacao). RNAcentral's name for it is "long non-coding RNA (TCAC_LNC003174)". The record is from RNAcentral. Lineage: Eukaryota; Viridiplantae; Streptophyta; Magnoliopsida; Malvales; Malvaceae.